This 221-nucleotide unclassified non-coding RNA is filed under the name Hevea brasiliensis (rubber tree). Lineage: Eukaryota; Viridiplantae; Streptophyta; Magnoliopsida; Malpighiales; Euphorbiaceae. The record is from RNAcentral.
AGAGGCAAGAACCAGUUGCAAUCAGAAAAAAUGGACAUACAAACUAGAACAAUAGAAGCUACAUGUCGAAAAAAUAAAAACUACAGCCACUAAGUUGGAAAUGCUAAUCAAGUCAUACGAUCUGCAAAGAGAAUUUAAUAAUUUCGAGCUAAAAGCAAUCUGAUUGCACAUGCUCGUUACUCAAAGUACAUAAUAUAAUAUUAAUGGAUUCUACAAAUUUU